RNAcentral lists this ribosomal RNA (733 nucleotides) under Mesobacillus foraminis. Its description in RNAcentral is "bacterial SSU rRNA". It matches the Rfam family "Bacterial small subunit ribosomal RNA", at positions 71 to 789 of the family's 1533-position model. The record is from RNAcentral. Lineage: Bacteria; Bacillati; Bacillota; Bacilli; Caryophanales; Bacillaceae.
GGAGGGAGCUUGCUCCCAAAGAUUAGCGGCGGACGGGUGAGUAACACGUGGGCAACCUGCCUGUAAGACUGGGAUAACUUCGGGAAACCGGAGCUAAUACCGGAUAAUCCUUUUCCUCACAUGAGGGAAAGCUGAAAGACGGUUUCGGCUGUCACUUACAGAUGGGCCCGCGGCGCAUUAGCUAGUUGGUGAGGUAACGGCUCACCAAGGCGACGAUGCGUAGCCGACCUGAGAGGGUGAUCGGCCACACUGGGACUGAGACACGGCCCAGACUCCUACGGGAGGCAGCAGUAGGGAAUCUUCCGCAAUGGACGAAAGUCUGACGGAGCAACGCCGCGUGAGCGAAGAAGGCCUUCGGGUCGUAAAGCUCUGUUGUCAGGGAAGAACAAGUGCCGGAGUAACUGCCGGCACCUUGACGGUACCUGACCAGAAAGCCACGGCUAACUACGUGCCAGCAGCCGCGGUAAUACGUAGGUGGCAAGCGUUGUCCGGAAUUAUUGGGCGUAAAGCGCGCGCAGGCGGUCCUUUAAGUCUGAUGUGAAAGCCCACGGCUCAACCGUGGAGGGUCAUUGGAAACUGGGGGACUUGAGUGCAGAAGAGGAGAGUGGAAUUCCACGUGUAGCGGUGAAAUGCGUAGAGAUGUGGAGGAACACCAGUGGCGAAGGCGACUCUCUGGUCUGUAACUGACGCUGAGGCGCGAAAGCGUGGGGAGCGAACAGGAUUAGAUACCCUG